RNAcentral lists this long non-coding RNA (605 nucleotides) under Medicago truncatula (barrel medic). Its description in RNAcentral is "lncRNA gene42019". The record is from RNAcentral. Lineage: Eukaryota; Viridiplantae; Streptophyta; Magnoliopsida; Fabales; Fabaceae.
GGAUAAUUUUUAACCAACAAUCACCAAUUUUCAUCUUUUUCUUCCUCUUUCGAUCUAUUUAGAUGGCUUUUUUUCCAUGUAGAUAUAGGUUUCUGUUUGGUGAAUUUGUCGUCCCAGAAUAACCUUGUUUUAUCUGUCGUUUUGGUGGUGGGGUUUAGCAUGGGAAUGGGGAGUUGUUUCCCACCAUAGGAAAGUUUUUUUGGACCAUUUGAUCAUGUAAAGAACAUAAUAUUAUCAUAGUCUCUCAAUACUAUAUUAUUUUACACUAUUCCAUCACCCUUGUCUCUCUUCCAUGUCCUCACUCACCCGCCAGCAACAUGAACUUCACCACCAGCACCGCCCUCCCAAACCUCACAACUUUAUCCCCCUUAUUACAUCCAUAAAUAUAUUAUUCAACUGAUUAAGAACCUUUAUAAAUCUUACAAUAAAACACUAAAAGCUAACAUUUAGUUCAAAAAAUUUUCGAUUUAAAGUUGUUCAUUAGAUCCUGUUGCAACAAAAAUAGCAAAUUUCAAUGUAAAAACAACAAUUACAAAUUACAAUCUCAAACUAAACUAAAGAGGAAUACUCAAUAACACAUCGGUGGUAUGUAAUUUGUAAAUAAA